RNAcentral lists this long non-coding RNA (1581 nucleotides) under Mytilus galloprovincialis (Mediterranean mussel). The record is from RNAcentral. Lineage: Eukaryota; Metazoa; Mollusca; Bivalvia; Mytilida; Mytilidae.
UAAACUUAUAUCACUGCUCUAACCAAUCAAGAAAUAUUUACAGAGACAUGUAUUUCCGGUGUGUUAAUAUUCCUUUGGGAUGCGCACGCAAUCAAUAAAGUAAACUUGAACUGUUCUAUUUUCUCGUUGCAUAUGUAUCGGUUAGUCUAUGAAGAGGUACAUGUAUGUACUAUGAAAUUUAGAGCCAGCGGCUAAUUUAGAGCCAGGGGUUUGUCCCGAACUCUUAAUUUCAUGCAUAGUAUAUAAAUUUUCAAAGACUAUCCAAUUUAGCACAUAUUUACAACCCAAGUCAUUUUUAAUUGGACUAUUGAUAGCCUUUUUAUGCUGACUACUUGUCUCACAAAUGUUUGUUAAACGGACUUUUAUGUUUUGUAAAAUUAAAUUUACUCACUAGUGUUGAAGUCAAAUAAGUGAUUUCAAAAGGUCCUUGACUCCGGAAUGAAAAGAUGGUAGCUACUUGUGUUAGUAUGUAUAUUGAUAUAAAGCGGUGUUGUACUACAUGUACUUCGUUACAUAGUAAGAUGAUAGAAUAAAUUGACCAAACGAAGGCAUAUAUAAUUACAUUGCAGUGGAAGCUUUACAUGUUUUGAAAGCAUUUUUCAAUUUCACAAUAAAACUAAAGCUAUAUAGUAAAUUUGAAACAUAUAGAUAUAUGUGCCACUUUACAGUCUAACAGGUAGGCAUUAACAUGCAACUAUCAAUAAAUUAAAGAUUAUAAGUUUUGUGUUUUUUUUUUUUAAUUUCAAAGUAAAAACUAAAAGAUUUAUCAGAAUAUAUGUAUAUUCCCUUCAGACAUUUUCACAGUAUUUCAAUUCAUUAUGAAAAAAGAUCAAUUUCCUUAAGAAAGUUGAACACAAAAAUCAUCAUCAAGUUGAUUUAAUUUCCCUUCACAAGUUUUCAUUGUAUACAAAGUAAUUGCAUUGAUGUGAUAAAUUACCACAAUUAUAAGAUAGCGUAUUCUGAUCAAGGCAUUAAGGACCAUAUUUGUUAUUCUUUAUUAAAAUGGAAAAAACAACUUGCAAUUGUCAAAAAUAUUUUUGAACUUCAAAGAUUUUAUUAGCAGGAUAUUUAAAAAUCAGUGUGAAAACUAAUUACAUUUUUUUUUAUUAGGAACAUAGCAUUUUAUUCCAAAAUAGCCAGUGGCAAUUUCUGUUUUAACAUCUUGAUUACGAUACUAAGAAAUCUUACCCUUGUGGUCAUUCAUGCAUAGUAACUUAGUACAUAGAAAAAUUAGAAGGCAAUUUCAAGCAUUUUGAUUUGACGAGCAGUUGUAAAAGUUAUAUCUAUAUUUUGGGUUUCACUGAUGAAUUUUGCAUAUAUAGUGUACAUGUGUAUCACACUACAGUGUUAGAUUACAAUAACAAGACCGCAAUAUACUAAAACGAAGAAUAAUAUAAUGCACAUGCUAUUGGAAAAUAAAGAAUUUAAAACGUAACUAAAAAUAAAGUGACAUUGUUUAGAGUAAAUAAACUUUGAAAGACACAAUUGCUAAUCUAAUUAUGAUAAAUGCCAUAGUAUCCGUUUUAACAACACUAAACCCCAGCAAAAUCAAAAAACAUUUUUAAAAAUGUAAGUUGAAUA